This 382-nucleotide ribosomal RNA is filed under the name uncultured fungus. Its description in RNAcentral is "eukaryotic LSU rRNA". The stretch from base 1 to 125 matches the Rfam family "5.8S ribosomal RNA", at positions 30 to 154 of the family's 154-position model. The record is from RNAcentral. Lineage: Eukaryota; Fungi.
GCAUCGAUGAAGAACGCAGCGAAAUGCGAUAAGUAAUAUGAAUUGCAGAUUUUCGUGAAUCAUCGAAUCUUUGAACGCACAUUGCGCCCUCUGGUAUUCCAGAGGGCAUGCCUGUUUGAGCGUCAUUUCUCUCUCAAACCUUCGGGUUUGGUAUUGAGUGAUACUCUUAGUUGAACUAGGCGUUUGCUUGAAAUGUAUUGGCAUGAGUGGUACUGGAUAGUGCUAUAUGACUUUCAAUGUAUUAGGUUUAUCCAACUCGUUGAAUAGUUUAAUGGUAUAUUUCUCGGUAUUCUAGGCUCGGCCUUACAAUAUAACAAACAAGUUUGACCUCAAAUCAGGUAGGAUUACCCGCUGAACUUAAGCAUAUCAAUAAGCGGAGGAA